UACGGGGGGGGCAAGCGUUGUUCGGAAUUACUGGGCGUAAAGGGCUCGUAGGUGGCCAACUAAGUCAGACGUGAAAUCCCUCGGCUUAACCGGGGAACUGCGUCUGAUACUGGAUGGCUAGAGUUUGGGAGAGGGAUGCGGAAUUCCAGGUGUAGCGGUGAAAUGCGUAGAUAUCGAGAGGAACACCUGCGGCGAAGGCGGGUUGCUGGGCUGACACUGACGCUGAGGCGCGAAAGCCAGGGGAGCGAACGGG
RNAcentral lists this ribosomal RNA (253 nucleotides) under uncultured bacterium. RNAcentral's name for it is "partial 16S ribosomal RNA". It matches the Rfam family "Bacterial small subunit ribosomal RNA", at positions 524 to 776 of the family's 1533-position model. The record is from RNAcentral.